This 71-nucleotide transfer RNA is filed under the name Schistocephalus solidus. It matches the Rfam family "tRNA". Rfam says of the family: Transfer RNA (tRNA) molecules are approximately 80 nucleotides in length. Their secondary structure includes four short double-helical elements and three loops (D, anti-codon, and T loops). Further hydrogen bonds mediate the characteristic L-shaped molecular structure. tRNAs have two regions of fundamental functional importance: the anti-codon, which is responsible for specific mRNA codon recognition, and the 3' end, to which the tRNAs corresponding amino acid is attached (by aminoacyl-tRNA synthetases). tRNAs cope with the degeneracy of the genetic code in two manners: having more than one tRNA (with a specific anti-codon) for a particular amino acid; and 'wobble' base-pairing, i.e. permitting non-standard base-pairing at the 3rd anti-codon position. Lineage: Eukaryota; Metazoa; Platyhelminthes; Cestoda; Diphyllobothriidea; Diphyllobothriidae. The record is from Rfam by way of RNAcentral.
GGGCCACUGGCUCAAUUGUAGAGCUUUUGACUCAAUUCACAAAUUCGUGGGUUUUAAUCCCACGUCGUCAA